RNAcentral lists this ribosomal RNA (468 nucleotides) under uncultured bacterium. RNAcentral describes it as "partial 16S ribosomal RNA". It matches the Rfam family "Bacterial small subunit ribosomal RNA", at positions 28 to 507 of the family's 1533-position model. The record is from RNAcentral.
GACGAACGCUGGCGGCGUGCUUAACACAUGCAAGUCGAACGGAAACUCCCUGCUUUUUUGGGCUCCUCUAGUUGCGACCGGGUGAGUAACCCUUGAGUUACCUGCCCUUCACUUUGGGAUAACUUCAUGACACUUGGUCUCAUACCGCCUAGGAUCUCCUGCUGCUUGGUGGGGCUUGGUUAGUUUCGGCGGUUGGGGAUGUACUCGCGUCUUAUCAGCUUGUUGGUGGGGUAGUGGCUUACCAUGGCUUUGACGGGUAGCCGGCCUGGGAGGGUGACCGGACACAUUGGGACUGAGAUACGGCCCAGACUAGUACGGGAGGCAGAGGUGGGGAAUAGAGCACAAUGGGAGGAAGGAAGAUGCAGCAACGCAGCGUGCGGGAAGACGGGAUGGGGGUUGUAAAGCGAUGUCGCCUGAGACGAAGCGAGAGUGACGGUAAUGGGUAAAGAAGCACCGGCUAACUACGUG